This 560-nucleotide ribosomal RNA is filed under the name uncultured bacterium. RNAcentral describes it as "bacterial SSU rRNA". It matches the Rfam family "Bacterial small subunit ribosomal RNA", at positions 338 to 916 of the family's 1533-position model. The record is from RNAcentral.
CCUACGGGAGGCAGCAGUGGGGAAUAUUGGACAAUGGGCGAAAGCCUGAUCCAGCAAUGCCGCGUGAGUGAUGAAGGCCUUAGGGUUGUAAAGCUCUUUUACCAGGGAUGAUAAUGACAGUACCUGGAGAAUAAGCUCCGGCUAACUCCGUGCCAGCAGCCGCGGUAAUACGGAGGGAGCUAGCGUUGUUCGGAAUUACUGGGCGUAAAGCGUACGUAGGCGGUUAUUCAAGUCAGAGGUGAAAGCCUGGAGCUCAACUCCAGAACUGCCUUUGAAACUAGAUAGCUAGAAUCUUGGAGAGGUGAGUGGAAUUCCGAGUGUAGAGGUGAAAUUCGUAGAUAUUCGGAAGAACACCAGUGGCGAAGGCGACUCACUGGACAAGUAUUGACGCUGAGGUACGAAAGCGUGGGGAGCAAACAGGAUUAGAUACCCUGGUAGUCCACGCCGUAAACGAUGAUAACUAGCUGUUCGGGCUCUACGAGCUUGAGUGGCGCAGCUAACGCAUUAAGUUAUCCGCCUGGGGAGUACGGUCGCAAGAUUAAAACUCAAAGGAUUGACGG